CGAGCAGGUGGCCGACCUGCCCGAGCGGCUGCCGGUCGAGGACCGGCCCGUGGUGGCGACGAUCCUCUCGGUGCUGCUCGA
Molecule: transfer RNA, 81 nt
Filed under: Nonomuraea cavernae
Lineage: Bacteria; Bacillati; Actinomycetota; Actinomycetes; Streptosporangiales; Streptosporangiaceae
Description: tRNA-Leu
Source: RNAcentral